UCUGGGAUAAGCGCUGGAAACGGCGUCUAAUACUGGAUAUGUGACGUGACCGCAUGGUCUGCGUCUGGAAAGAAUUUCGGUUGGGGAUGGGCUCGCGGCCUAUCAGCUUGUUGGUGAGGUAAUGGCUCACCAAGGCGUCGACGGGUAGCCGGCCUGAGAGGGUGACCGGCCACACUGGGACUGAGACACGGCCCAGACUCCUACGGGAGGCAGCAGUGGGGAAUAUUGCACAAUGGGCGCAAGCCUGAUGCAGCAACGCCGCGUGAGGGAUGACGGCCUUCGGGUUGUAAACCUCUUUUAGCAGGGAAGAAGCGAAAGUGACGGUACCUGCAGAAAAAGCGCCGGCUAACUACGUGCCAGCAGCCGCGGUAAUACGUAGGGCGCAAGCGUUAUCCGGAAUUAUUGGGCGUAAAGAGCUCGUAGGCGGUUUGUCGCGUCUGCUGUGAAAUCCCGAGGCUCAACCUCGGGCCUGCAGUGGGUACGGGCAGACUAGAGUGCGGUAGGGGAGAUUGGAAUUCCUGGUGUAGCGGUGGAAUGCGCAGAUAUCAGGAGGAACACCGAUGGCGAAGGCAGAUCUCUGGGCCGUAACUGACGCUGAGGAGCGAAAGGGUGGGGAGCAAACAGGCUUAGAUACCCUGGUAGUCCACCCCGUAAACGUUGGGAACUAGUUGUGGGGUCCAUUCCACGGAUUCCGUGACGCAGCUAACGCAUUAAGUUCCCCGCCUGGGGAGUACGGCCGCAAGGCUAAAACUCAAGGAAUUGACGGGGACCCGCACAAGCGG
RNAcentral lists this ribosomal RNA (782 nucleotides) under Actinomycetes bacterium. Its description in RNAcentral is "bacterial SSU rRNA". It matches the Rfam family "Bacterial small subunit ribosomal RNA", at positions 137 to 932 of the family's 1533-position model. Lineage: Bacteria; Bacillati; Actinomycetota; Actinomycetes. The record is from RNAcentral.